AAAAAGGGUUUUUGUUGUGAGCGACACCCAUAGGGCGCCUGGCUUGCUCUUCGUGCAGAAUCGACAUCAAGAGCUUUUGGAAGCGUAAUUUCUGGUGCUAGGGCAGCUGCUGAUAAUUGGUCCCAGUGCCAUA
RNAcentral lists this small nuclear RNA (133 nucleotides) under Dasypus novemcinctus (nine-banded armadillo). RNAcentral describes it as "U11 spliceosomal RNA (ENSDNOG00000041915.1)". It matches the Rfam family "U11 spliceosomal RNA". The record is from RNAcentral. Lineage: Eukaryota; Metazoa; Chordata; Mammalia; Cingulata; Dasypodidae.